GGAUGCGAUCAUACCAGCACUAAAGCACCGUAUCCCAUCAGAACUCCGAAGUUAAGCAUGCUUGGGCGAGAGUAGUACUAGGAUGGGUGACCUCCUGGGAAGUCCUCGUGUUGCAUUCC
RNAcentral lists this ribosomal RNA (119 nucleotides) under Aegilops tauschii subsp. strangulata. The record is from RNAcentral. Lineage: Eukaryota; Viridiplantae; Streptophyta; Magnoliopsida; Poales; Poaceae.